Ictidomys tridecemlineatus (thirteen-lined ground squirrel) is the source of this 253-nucleotide non-coding RNA. Lineage: Eukaryota; Metazoa; Chordata; Mammalia; Rodentia; Sciuridae. The record is from RefSeq and is a predicted model, not a curated record.
UUCUUUUGGGUCUGUCAUUGUAUGUUGGAACCAGGACACCUCAAUUCUCAUGGGUUCACUUCUUCAGCAUUCCUUAUUAUGGCUUUAUGGCUUUGCAGCAUAAUGAGUUUUUGGGAAGAAACUUCUGUCCAACACUCAAUAUAACAAACGGCAAUAACUGUCCUGGUUAUGUAAUAUGUUCUGGUGAAGAAUUCUUGUUAAUGCAGGAUAUGGAUCUCUCACCUUGGGGCUUAUGGAGGAAUCAUGUGGCUUU